GUAGAAGAACGGCACCACCGAGUUAGAAAUCGAGCAAGAGAACUAUCACGAGAGAGAAGUAGGGUUGUGAUAUUGAGAGAGAGUACGCUGUGUUUAGAUGAUCAAAAACCCUACAACCUAUAGGGGUAUUUAUAGGUGCAGAGAGACUUGUGUGCUACUCUUUCUCAUAAUUAAAUAAUCUGAAACAAAAUCAGAUUAAAAUUUUCUAGCUGCUAUAUUCCAUAAAUAAUAUGAAACGAAAUCAGAUUCUGAAACUUGCUUCUUUAAUUUUUGAUAUUUUUUAUCCGAAAAUUCUAGAAAAUUAGAAAAAUAAAAUGGAGCGAUGUAAGAGGCGCCGCCACCUACACGCCCCUCGCUUCUCCUUUAUAUAGAAACAAAAUCAGAUUAAAACUUUCAAGCUACUAUAUUCCAUAAAUAAUCUGAAACAAAAUCAAAUUCUGAAACUUGCUUCUAAUAUAUCAGAAACUAAAAAAGGUGGUUCUAAUUUUUGAUAUUUUUCAUCCAAAAAUUCCAGGAAAUUAGAAAAGUAGAACGGAGCGAUGUGAGGGGCGCCACCUACACACCCCUCGCUUCUCCUUUAUAUAAGUAUAUUGAUGAUUGAUGAUUUCUUUAUUUAUGUAUAUAGCUGUACUGGGUAGUUGUACAGAUAUUGUUGUAGUCUUGGUACUCUAACCUUUUAACGAUCUAUUUUAUUUAUUUUUGAAUUUUUACUUGAUUUUGAAAAUUUACUAUUAUAAUUUUUUUUCUAAUUCCUAUCAAACACAUAUGAAUUAUAUAAAUAACGUGACUUUCAAAAAAUUUAAAUUAAAUAUAAAACUUUAAAAUUAAAUAUUAAGAUUAAACUUGAUUUUUGAUAAAGAAUCUAGGCAGCUUUUUAAAAAGGAGACAAAUAACAUUUCUUAAAGGAUAAAAUUUGCACACUUAAUAAAUAUAAUUUUUGAAAAAAUAAUUUAAUAAUUUAAUAUAAUCUGUAAAUUUGGUUGAAGAAAAAUCAAAUUAAUGAAAAUAAAUGAUGUUAUCUUUCUAGUGUCCAUAUCCCCGUAUCCAAAUCCCAGUGUCCAUAUCCGCGUGUCCGAUCCGUAUGAAACGUGUCCCCGAGUCUAUGAUUUCAUGAUUUGGCGUAUCGGACUCCAGGAUAUGUGUCCGUGUCGGAUCUUUCUAGACGAGUCCGAGCAUCCUAGCUUGUAUAUAGCCUAAUCAAUUUGCAUAUAAGCAAUAUUAACUUUGCAUGAGAAAUAUGUACAAUCAGGUUGGUUUUUGAUGCAAUGCACGCAGUGACCGGUGCUUAUGCAGAACCCAUCUUUGUAGACAAGCUUGGAGCUAGCACGGUAUCUUCUUCCGCAUUUAAUGCUUGUAGCUUAAAUCAACUGCUAUACAAGUAUUCUUACUAGUGGAUUUAUCAUUUGUACAGAAUUCUAUUUUAAAUGGAGUGCCUCUUGAAGAUUUUGGGCAUGGCCAUCCAGAUCCAAAUCUUACGUAAGAUUGUUUAGUGUUGGUUUGAGUUAAAUUCUUGUUAAAAGACAUUGAAAUUGAUAUGUUUUGGAUAGAUAUGCUAAAGACCUAGUGAACAUCUUGUAUAAAGAGGAUGGACCAGACUUUGGAGCUGCAAGUGAUGGUACGUUAAUUGUCUUGCGUGCAAUCAUCUUCCUACUUGUUUUUAGUUUUUGAAGUAUAAAGUUGACCGGUGUAUUUGUACUGUUUGAGGUUUUAAAGUUGAUCUUGGCAAACCUCAUAUACCUAACUGAAUAAGUACUAUUUGUUCAAUAGGCAACAUAAUUAUGUUGUAUUAAAUAUCAAUUGAGCUAGUAAAUAAAUGCAAUUUGGUCAUUUUGUUAUGCCCAGUGAAGGAGUAUCUGUUAACUACAAGUGGCUCUAAGAGUAUCUUUAUGUUAUGCCCAUAAAGAAUUUGGUCAUUUUUUUACUUGACUUUACGGGAGGGUUUGGCUAGUAUCUUUCUUCAUAUGGGAAUUUUUUAUAUGUUUUGAUUUGUUAGUUGUGUUUGGAUAUUCAGUCAUAAUAUUUGGUGUCACCGCAAAAUUUCUGAAAUCUUGUAAGUCAUUAUUAACUUUUAGUUUAUCACAAAUUUAUCAUGACUUUCAACACUUCAGUCAUCUGAUAUCUGUGUUUUCCUUUUCAUUCUAAGUAAAUGAUUAGCUGUCCAUUUGCACUUUACCAGCAACUGCGCCUGCGAUGCCAUGGAAUAUCAAUGCAGACCUUGUUAAAUUUAGUAGAAUCUGAUUCCCAAAUUCUAAAUGUUUAAUGCGGAAGCAGAAUAAGUGGUACAAUUUGAUGUAAAAGUAUUCAGUUACUUAAAUUUCAUUAUUUCUGCAACCAAUUGUUAAUGUGGUAUUCUACUAACAUUUAAAGCAUGACAGAGGAAUCAAUGUGGACAGUUGUAAGGGUUUAUUUGACUUUUAAGUAAGAGUAGUGCUACGUACCCCAGAUUCUGUUCCCAAAAUUUUUUCCCAAAUGACGUGGCAGACAGAUGGCUAAUUUUAAUUGGGUGUUUGAUGUGCAUACAGAGGGCCUCAUGAUUAUUAGUGUGAGUUGUACCGAUCAUACAUUGCCAACUAGAUUUUGGGAAAAGAAUUUGGGAACACUUUUUGGGGUACCUAGCAUUUUUCUUUAAGUAAAUUGAUUACAUGCAUUUUCUCAAAUGGAUCCAUCUAUUAGAUAUUCAAUAUAUGCAUUGCCUUGAAGUAGCAUUGAUUACUACUGUAACUGUUCACAAGUAUAUGAUCUGCCUGGAUAUAAGUUCAGAUAUUCCUCUUAUAUCCUGCUGGCUGCUUGCAUUUGUAACCACGUGUAAGCCAUUUUUUUUGUAAACCUCAGGUUGAUGUAAUAUAUACAUAUAUAUAUAUAUAUAGGGGAGGGUUCUGGUACAAACUUACAAACUUUUUUUGUUCAACACAUAUAUAACUUGAGUUCAACAUAUUUUUAACAUAUUUUGUUGAACAUCUGUUAAAAUAGUGGUGGAGAAGUACAUAAACCAAUUUUUAAAUGUAAGAACUAAGGUAAACAUGUUAUAUAACUAAUAUUUAUGUUUCUAGACCCUACCCAAACCCCAGAGGUAUAGUUUAAACAUCUUUUUAGAUAUAUUCAACACAAUGAUAAUUAGUGUUCAACACCCGAUGUUGAACCCCAGUUAUAAAUGUGUUGAAAACGCGAUUUAUUUAUGCGUUAUUUUUAAAAAUUGUGAUGUUUUUUGAAGAAUUUUCAACAUGGAUACUUUAUAUAACUAAGGAUUAACACGAUGGGAGAAUAAAAAAAAGUUUGUAAGUUUGUAACUUAAAAAAGUUUUUAUUUGAUCCUAUCCCUAUAUAUAUAUACUAGCUUAUAGCCCGUGCAAGGCACGGGAGCUUCUAUGUUUCUAGACCCUACCCAAACCCGAGAGGUAUAGUUUAAACAUCUUUUUAGAUAUAUUCAACACAAUGAUAAUUAGUGUUCAACACCCGAUGUUGAACCCCAGUUAUAAAUGUGUUGAAAACGCGAUUUAUUUAUGCGUUAUUUUUAAAAAUUGUGAUGUUUUUUGAAGAAUUUUCAACAUGGAUACUUUAUAUAACUAAGGAUUAACACGAUGGAAGAUUAAAAAAAAGUUUGUAAGUUUGUAACUUAAAAAUUUUUAUUUGAUCCUAUCCCUAUUUAUAUAUACUAGCUUAUAGCCCGUGCAAGGCACGGGAGCUUUUUAAUUAUUUAUAAACUUUUUAAAUAUAUUUUAAAUGGUGUGAAAAAAUUUAAUUUAUAAAUAAUAAAUUAAAAUUAUAUUUAUCAUGCCAAACUAUUAAAUUCUUUCUAUCAAAUUUUAAAUUAUUUUAAGUAGAAUAAGUGACGCCAACUCCUAUUAGAUUAUAUUUAUAAAUGUAUUUUAUAUUAAAAUUAUUAUAAUGUGAUUUAAAUAUUUUUCAAAAAAAUUAUAUGGUUUCAAAUUAAAAUUGAUAAACAUAAUUUGUUUUGAAUUAAGAAAAGGAAUCAUAAAUAUGCAAUAAGAAGGUAGAAUCUAUUUUGGAUUAAGAAAAAGUUUUUUAUUUGUUCCUCACAUAAAUCCGGCUUAUUAAUUUUAAAAUAUAUUAUAAAAAAAUUGUGACGGUGAGAUUUAUAUGAUUCUACGAAUAAAACUGGUAAGAAAUAUUUAUUUAGGAUUAAAAAAAAUCAUAUACAUGUGAAAGACAGAAUUUGUUUUGGAUUCAGAAAAGGAAUUAUAAACAUGCAAGUAUCAGUUACCUUCUAGAACAGAAUUUAAUUUUGUUCCAAUCUAACGGUGCUUAUUUGUUCAAUAUAAGAUCCAACGGAUGGUAAGCUUUUGGACCAGAGGACCAUGCGACCAAAUUAUCUCCCUUACGCUUAUUAUAUAUAAGUAGGUAAUAUAUAUAUAUAUAUCCUACUCCAACAGAAACUACUAGAAUAGAAACUAAAAACCAAUGCGAUUAAGUAGAAUGAUGCGGGUUUUGGGACCGGGGAUGGACCCCGAGAUGGGCCUAGACAGGGUCUACGUGGGGCCUAAUAGGGCCGGGUCGGGGCCUAGUGGGACCAUGGUGGGGCCAAUGUUUGGCUUUUUAAGACUGUCUGAAGCCUGUCUAGGACCUGUGAGGAGCCUUGGCGAGGACCUUUCGGGCCCGGGGUGGAUUGAGUGGGGGUGAAGGUGGGCCUUAGGUGGGUGAUGACAUAUAGGGGGUGGGUGAUGACAUAUAAGGGGCGGGGGAGGGCAUUUAGGUAUAGUUUCUCUUGGUUUCCAUUUUAGUUUUUAUUUUAGCGGUUUCUAUUUGAGCAAUUGCCUAUAUAUAUAUCUUUUCAGGUGACGGUGAUAGAAACAUGAUUCUUGGUAGAGAAUUUUUUGUUACCCCAUCGGACUCUGUUGCAAUUAUUGCCGCAAAUGCGCAAAGUGCGAUUCCAUAUUUCCAGAGUGGCCCAAAAGUAAGAAGCUUCUGUAACAUUUCUUUUAGUUGUCAUUUUUCUAUUACUUCUAGAGUUUUUAUGUGCUGUUAAAUUUGCAGGGUUUGGCGAGAUCGAUGCCAACAAGUGGUGCUCUUGACCGUGUUGCUCAGAAGCUGAAUCUGCCAUUUUAUGAGGUUUAGUGUUCAGAUUUUUCAAGCAGUUAAUAAUGAACUGUGUGAUUAAUUAAUUGGGGAAAUUGGCUUGAGAGUGUUUCUGUUUUCCUCCUACCAGGUUCCCACUGGUUGGAAAUUCUUUGGAAAUUUAAUGGAUGCUGGAGUGUUGUCAAUUUGUGGUGAAGAAAGUUUUGGAACAGGAUCUGACCAUAUUCGUGAAAAGGAUGGAAUAUGGUACACAUACAAUUUAAUUAAUCAUCCCUGUCAUUUAAUCAUGCGUUUCCAAAUCCACUUAAAAAUGAUUUUGUGGGAAUUUUUUAGUAUAUUUUUUCUUUCUAACAACAAAAGUUAAAAUCUUUUAAAAGGUGUACUGGGUGCUGUAUCACUUUCAUUUUGACCCUUUACGAGUGUGGAUAUAAGUAAUCUGAAAAUGCAAAAUGUAUACAAUCCAAAUACCCGAUUCUCCUUAAAUAAUGUUAAAAAUCACACUGAAAGUACUACUAGAUUUCUCCUAUUUUGGAGGCAAAUAUAAAUACAGAUUUGUUUUCCAAAUACCUAGUUAUAAAUCUUUAUAGAAGCUUAUUGGGUGCUGUAUCCCUUUCAUUUUGACCCUUUAUGAGCGUAUAAAUAAUUUUUAAAAUCCAUAUGUAUACAACCAAAAUACCCAAUUCUCCUUAAAUAGUGUUGAAAGAAAGUACUAGGCCUCGAUUAUGGAGGCAAAUAAAAAUACUAUGUCUUCCAAAAUACAUACACUGAUAGACCUUAGUAAUUAAUUUUGAUAUGAAUGCUUACUUCGAUACUUAUAACUCAGGGCUGCUGACUUCAAUAGCUGUUAUUGACAGGGCGGUGCUAGCUUGGCUUUCAAUACUAGCAUAUAGAAACAAGGACAAGAAAAGUGGUGACCGGCUGAUUUCUGUCUCUGAUGUUGUUAAGGAGCAUUGGGCCACUUAUGGAAGAAAUUACUUCUCUCGAUAUGACUACGAGGUAAGCAAUAUUAAAUUUUGUUUGACAGUUUAUUGAUUAAAAUCAGUAGUUAUAUAAUCAUAUCUUAUAACUGAAUAUUCUGAUAUCAAUUUUUUCGGCUAGGAAUGUGAAUCUGAAGGUGCCAACAAAAUGGUAGAGUAUCUUAGAGAUUUAAUUUCAAAGAGCAAGGAAGGCGAUAUAUAUGGUAUACAGUCUAGUCUAUUUGCAUCGUUGUCAAAAUUUAUAUGUUCUUUUAGUUUCUUCACUAAAGAGUCCUAUUGUAGGAGACUAUGUCCUUCAAUUUGCCGAUGACUUCACUUAUACUGAUCCUGUAAGUGAUGUGUAUAUCUAUAAUGCCCUCUGUGAUUAAGCAAAACCUAAAAAGGUUGUUCAAUUAAAGUGCUAUAAAUUCACAGGUCGAUGGAAGUGUUGUAUCUAAGCAAGGUGUACGUUUUGUUUUUACUGAUGGAUCGAGGAUUAUAUUUCGCUUAUCGGUAUGUAUCUCUCUAUAGCCUUUGCUCUCAUUUUUUAAUAUUUUUAAUUUCAUUCUGGUUUCCACUUAAUUACUGCUUGGUGUAAAUAACUAAAUCUGGUAACUUUAACAGGGAACUGGCUCUGCAGGCGCAACAGUUAGAGUCUACAUUGAGCAGUAUGAGCCCGAUGUCUCUAAACAUGACAUGGAUGCUCAGAUUGCUCUGAAGCCAUUAAUUGGUCAGUAACGUCAGUCCAUUAUUUUGGCAUAAAUUAAUCGCAAACAUGAUAUUGUGUUAACUAAUGUAUGGUGUCAUGAUCUCAGAUCUUGCAUUGUCUGUUUCAAAGCUCAAGGACUUUACUGGAAGGGAAAAACCUACGGUCAUUACAUAAACAGUUUUGUUAAUAUUACACAACGCAAGGAAAAUAAGUUGUUUUAGCAUGUCGGCAUUUGGUUACUUAGUUCCUUUUUUUAUUUAAAAUUACUCUUUGAUUUUUAUUUUUUUUAAUAUAAGUGUGCUCCAGGGAACCAAUAAAUAGCUCCUUUGUACAGCACAUAUCUUUGUUUCAAGGUAAAUAAUCCCCCCUCCCCAAUGUAUGUAGGAAACUCUGUUACUGCUAUUAUGCUAGCUGAGUACCUGAGUUUGAGAAGUUGUAAUCUAUGCAUUAAGCUGCAGAGAAUUUUUUAACAGGAGGUUAGUGUUAAUAGUCCAAAAAAUCAGGUUUAUAGUUGGUAUUCGAAGCAGCCAGCAGGCUUCCCCUUCGGAGUGUGCUAGGUAUGGGGACUAGUGCAUUCGGCAUGUGCGUUCCCAUGGACAGUAGUUUAAAUUUGACUUGUCGGCGGUUUAGUGAAUUUAUGGUUAUGUGUCAUGAUUUUUGGAUAGGAAUUUUUGGGAACCAAAGAACUAUUAAUGAAAAAACUCAACUAACUUGUCAUUUUUUUGCCAAAAAACCUAUAAACUUUUUUUUCACCAAUAACCCCAAUAAACUUUAUUAAAUCUUUGAAAAACAUUUAACUAGAGUUAUUUAUAAUUGUUGUGGACUAACCAUGAUCAUCACAUAUCCUAUGUGGUAAAUUAAUUACAAUUAAUCAAAAAAAUAACUGAAAAUUCAGCACUACUAAAAUCAGCUUUUAGAUGGUUGAUCAGCAGCUCAUUAAGACAGGGAAGUAAUAAGCUCUCAUUCAAACAAUGAACAGAUUGAGAACUGCUCUGCCGUCAUCGUUAUUACGACUGAAAAACUCUGAGACAUUUCAUCCACCUCUUUCUACGUGGUUGAUAUUCUAUGUAGAAAAAAUGUAUCUUAUGAUGUAUAUUACUGUGUGAAAUCCUUACUUAGCUACUCGAGCAUAAACAGUUAACCAAGCUUCAGGUCUAGCCGUGCAGCAUAUCAAGCAGCAGAAUAGGGACUCUGAAUUGAGUAAGACAUAUUUUAACCACUUAGCACAAACAAUCCACCAAAAUACAAACAAAUUACUCAACCAUAUACUCUGUCCAAUCAAUAGUCCCGAACAACUCCAAACAAACACCCCCUAAAACUCUAUAAAAAUUAGUCGCGUGAGACACCUCAACCAAACCUGUGAACUCAGGAAAACAUAAAAACCAGUUCCAUCUCCUGAAUUUUGUAUUGAAUGGAGUCAUAAAUAACACCCCAUCUGCUAAUCUUUUCACAUACCAUCUGAUUACGUCAAAAUGAUAACCCCAUUAAUUUAUUUCGAACAUCAACUCAGCCUUUACAAUAAUCUGCCAAUAUCACACAUCUUCAGUUGUUUUCAUUUUAAUUUUUAAAUCUAAACUAACAAAUAUCAUAUUAUAAAUCAUUUUAGUAAAUGACUAGGCGCUACAUGACAGUGGCACACACAUGUAUAAAAAGAUACAAAUGAAGGAAAGAUACGUGACAAGUUACAUUGGUAGAUUUAACCAUGGUUUACUUUGUAUUUAUUUUUAUACUUUUAAUAAAGUUUAUUGGGGUUGUUAAAGAAAACAGAAGUUUAAAGGUUUUUUGGCAAAAAAUUGACAAGUUGAUUGAGUUUUUUGGUUAAUAACUCGGAACCAAAUUGUUUUUAAGGUAUUUUUAAGAAAAUUUACUUACUAAUAAUCAUCAAUCAUCAGUGUACUUAUAUAAAGGAGAAGCGAGGGGCGUGUAGGUGGCGCCUCUCAUAUCACUCCGUUCUAUUUUUCUAAUUUUUUGGAAUUUUUGGACGAAAAAUAUAGUUUCAGAUUAAUUGAUAUGGUAUAUAUCUUGACAUAAAUUAAUCUGAUUCUGUUUCAGAUUAUUUAUGGAAUAUAGUAGCUUGCAAACUUUUUAAUCUGAUUCUGUUUCAGAUAUUUAAUUAUGAAAAAGAUUAUGGAAUAUAGUAGCUUGCAAGCUUUUUAAUCUGAUUAUGUUUCAGAUUAUUUAAUUAUGGAAAAAAGUAGCAGACAAGUCUCUCUACGUCUAUAAAUACCCCCCAUACGUGGUAGGGUUUUGGAUCAUUUGAACACAACCAAUCCAAAGAAACUGGAAGAAAGAGUCACUAAUAUACACCUGCAUGGAUUGGAAUUCAUACGUCCCGAUAUGAUUAAUGUUAGUUAUACAUAAUUUUAUCCCCAUUAAAACUGGGGAUGAUUUUGGAGUUGCAUAUCUUUGACUUUUACACACUUAUGUUCUUGCAAGCUUACUGUAUGUUUUAUUGGUCAAUCAAUGUACAUGGUCUCAGAUGUCAUCAAUCAGUUCUGUUAAAGAGCCGUAUGCUUUUUACAUGUAGGGCAUGAUAUAUGUGUAAGAAGCAGUGUUUGGAAAUAAUGACAAUGUUAGUGAAAAACAUGAUUACUUAUAAAAAAAUACAACUAAAAUUAAGAUUCGUCAUGAUUUAAAUCGUUAAUUAUAUGUAUAAAUUUAUUUUCAUUUUUUCACUCAUGAAUUAUAAUCCAAUUUUGUAAUGUUAUAUAUUAAUAUUGGUAUUGCAUCAAAAUGUUUAUAAUAUAAAAUUUAUUUUAUUCCACAAAUAUUAAUUUUGAAUCAUUAAUAUAAUUUUUAUAUACUGCCACACAUUUAUUUUAUUUUAUAAAUAAUUAUUUAGAAUCAUUAAUAUAAUUUUUAUAGACCGCCGCAACGCGCGGCUUCUCAACUAGUAUACUUAUAUAAAGGAGAAACGAGUGGCGUGUAGGUGGAGUCUCUCAAUAGCUCCCCUCUGUUUUUCUAAUUUUUUGUAAUUUUUGGAUGAAAAAUAUCAGAACUAAAAAAUUAUCAAUUUUAGUUUCGGAUAUAUUGACAGCAAGUUUCAGAAUUACUUUUUUCAAAAUAUAAAAAAUAAAAUCUACCUAACUUUUUUAGCGUUAAAAUUAUCGGAAGAAAAUUCUAAAUUAUGGUUUAAUGUAUGCAACUUCUGCAACUAUGGUUGCAAAGGUUGCAAUCAUAGUUGCAAAGGUUGCAAAUAAAUUUUCAACUCCUACAAACAAGAUUAUAAUAUGAUUUAAUUGAUAGUUUUUUUUGAAAUAUUACUAUUAAGAUGGUUGCCCCUGCGGGGCCUAUUGUACAUAAAAUCAUCAACUCAAACAAAAGUUAUUUAAAAUCCUAGAAUUUCAAAAUAAUGAACAUUAUCAACAGUAAUAAUUGCAUAAAAUUUUAAUUAGAGAAUUCAUCAAACCAAAAUAACUACAAAGUACUGUCAUUAAACAAAGAACUACUUAAUGUCAUUAAACAAAGAACUACUACUUAAUGUCAUUAAACAAAGAAUACAAGUCAUUCUUUAACAUCUUUUGUCUUCACAUCUUUUGUCUUUGUCUUUCGCUCAUAUGCCAUUGUUGUUGGAGGAUUUUUAGAUUGAACCUUUGUAGUAUUAUCGAAAUCAUUCUCAUAGCCGUGUAUUUGCUGGUACUUAUUGUUGGUACUGAGUUUCACUCUUUUGUGAUCUUUAACUGGAAUGAUAUGAUCCAUCCCCUGUAGAUGAAAACAAGACAUGUGUCAGCAACAUGUAAGCCUUUACAAAUAUUUAAUUACAAGCUACAACCAUGUUUGCAACCUUUGCAAGCAUGGUUGCAGAAAUUGCAAACAUGAUUGCAAAAGCGGCAAACAUGGUUGCAACCAUGGUUCCAACGUCUGCAAACAUGGUUGAAAGGUUGUAACUGAUACAAAGAGACAUAUUUUAUGAGUGCCCCCGCGGGGCCUACAAAGAUAACACAAAAAAGGGAAAAUAGGAAUAGUAAAUACCUUAUUAAUAGAAAUUGGAUCAUCGUAUGUAAAUGGCUAACUUGGACCUCUUAUAUAUCCUUGACUACAACCUUAGUUUUUUGAGUUAUCUUGCAUUUUUGAAGGCGUAGCUAUAUUGGACGUUGAGCCCGAGGAUGCCUCAUCAAUGAAAACCUGAUCACUUUGGAUAGCUGACGUAGCCUUCUUAGUAUUCAAGGUUGCCUUGGGUUGUUUUUAUCUAUCUUUUGCUUUGGUGGCAAAUCGGAUGGACUUCAAACUCGGGGAUGACGACAACCUUGUGCGAACCAUGUUUGCAACUGCCAAAAAAUAUAUUAUGAAAGAGACAUAAAGCCCCAUCAUAAUACUAUCAGUGAUUAUCUUUUAAUGCAACAAAACAAAUGAAAUGGUGCAAAAUUGAUAUUAAAGUUGCAUAUUCGACGACCAAGUAGGAUAUAAACUAUAAAGUACUUUGCAUGAACAAGCUAACAAAAAGUUUUGCAAUAAAUAACCUAUCAUCUGUCGCAUUAGUUGCAACCCUAACCGCCAUUGCAUCAUACAACUGUUCAUUUACGCAUUCACUUUCCUAGUACCUUCAAAAUGGCUGAUUGCCUAAAAGAGAAAUCCCUUUGGUCUACUGAUUAGCAGCAAAGGAAAAAGUAAAUUGAAUUCAAAUUUCAUACAGUCACGCAAAUGAUAUCAUUAUUUCUUCUAAUAUAUAUUUUAAGAUAUCUGUCAAAGAACUAAGACGUUAUAAUGACAAUAUCGUAAUGCCAGGAUUCAAACAAAAACUAUCACAUUGUUAGUAUCUAUUAAAUAAAUUGGCGAUGAUGUAUCAACUACAUAAAACACAUCAAAAACUCAAAAAUACAUUUCAAGAUGAAAGAAAAGGAUGCAAUAACAUAUUCUUCAAAUAUGGGUAGUUUAAAAGGUCACCUUAAUCCAGGAGCUACACUUUUUCUAGUCACUUCUACAGUGGUUCCAAAUUCUACUUGAUUAUAUGAAUGGCGAAUGAACACUUGUAUACAUAUCUUGCGCUCUUGCGCAAAAACAUAAAAAAGUAUCUUAUAUUUCAAUUUUUAAGCAAAGAUUACAUGAGUAAUGAAUGAUCGCUUUUAAGUUUUUGAGUCUGACUACACACACUAAAACAUUUGCAUUAAUUUAUAAUGGGAGUUAAUUAGUCCGUAACCACAAGGUACAAGAUUCUUCAUAAUUACAAAUUACAAACAUAAAUGUAAAAUAUGUGAGCUUCAUAAAACCAAAUGAAUGACUAGAAUAGCAUCCAACAAUACUCUGUAUAUAAUUGACCUGCCUGUCCUGUAUGUGAAAGUAAAGUUUUUGUUAAAAUUUUAAAGUGUGAAAUAGCUUCAUCAAACACUUUCAAGCGAACACACAAUGUUGCAUUAGUCACGACAGAUACAACUUAACGUCUCAAGAGCUCAAAAAUUACAAAACACAAAAACUUAUAACAAUCAACAAUCACACUCAAUUACAAUUGUACAAUAAUUCAAAACUUAGACGCGGGGGGGGGGGGGGGGGGGGGGGGGGGGGGGUGGAGAGUAUAGCAUACAUGUUGAGAGAGGUCUCUACGGAGGUGGAGAGACUUGCGAGAGACGAAGGAAGCAGCGAGGCACGACGGAAGCAGCGAGAAACGAAGGAAUGGAGAGAGAGACGGAGUAAUGUAGUAGUGCUUGAGAGAGAGAGAGACGAAGGAGAUGUCGUAAUUUUGAAAAGAGUAAAGGUGAGAGACAAUGGUAACGGUAUAAUUAAAAAAACGGUAGUAUAUAAUUGAAAGUGUAAGUUAGGGGUAGUAAAAUUGUAAACAAAAGUUAUAUAUAUAUAUAUAUAUAUAUAUAUAUAUAUAUAUUCUUGUAAAUUUCUCUAAAACAUAUUAUAGAAAACUAAAUUUUGAAGAAAAAUAUAAUUAACCGGUUAAUAUAAUUUAAUCAAAUUUUAAUUCAUCAAUUUUGAAACUACUAAAAUAAUAUUAAAACUUAAAUUAUAAAUAAUAAAUUCAAAACUACACCGUCACUCAUACUUCGCACAGAUUUAAAGCUAGUAUAUCAUAAAACAAAGAUUUGGGUAUGAUACUCUUAACCAUACAAAGCACGAUUCCCAAUAAUACAGAUCAACUAGAAGUUACUUAAUUCUUGUAUACACAAACAUGCAAUUCAUAUCACACGAGCAUAUUUACAAUCAUCAACAAUCCAUCAAAACAUCGCAUAUCUAUGUGUUUCUAAUUCAGAUCACAUCUACAAUUAAACAUGUAAUUCAUAUCAUACGAGUAUAUAUACAAAUACAAUCAUCAAUAACCCAUCAAAACAUCGCACAUCUAUGUGUUUCUAACUCUGACCAUAUCUGCUUUCAACCUUUAGUCCAGGUCCUCAGCAUAUGAUUGUUGGGGAGCCGGUAACCAACACACAUAUUCCCAACAAUUGGAUAAGUUCACGACCCGUCAAAUUCAAAAAAAAAUUUCGCACGUACAACGUUUAAAAAUAGCUGAGAAAACUUUUUUAACCACUGUACGUGUAAAUAUUUUUACGCGUACAACGGUAAAAAAGCACUAUAAGCACAUAAUGGUUUGGACUUGACUAUUGAUCAUUUGUUUGCGGCCUCGCCCGUGCCUGCGUAUUUUUUGCACCCGAUUAGACCUAAUUCGGACCAAUUCUUGCAUUUUGUGCCUGUUGUUGUUGUUGUUGUUGUUGUUGUUGUUGUUGUUGUUGGUGCUGCAGCAUUGGAGCAGCAACAUCAUCAUAAUCAACACCAUCAUAAUCAGACGGCUGUGAUUCCGGGGCAGUAUAGACAAAUGGGGCAAUUUAAGCAUCCCCGCAAUGUGGCUAGGCAAGCACAUCAACAACAACAUGUUCAUAUGAUAAGAACACAUGUGCAUAAGCUAAUGCCAGCUUCAUAUAUUGAAGAAUUGGAAUCUGCGACAGGUUCAUAUGAAUAAAGCACCUCUGCAUAAGCUAGUGCUAGCUUUAUAUAUUGAAGAAUUGAAAUCUGCAACAGCUACAGUCGCCAAUGACUUCAUAUAUUAAAGUAUUGAAAUCCGCGACAACUCCAUAUAUGGAAGAAUCGGAAUCUGCGACACUUUCAUAUAUCAAAGAAUUGGAAUCUGCGACAACUACAGUAGUCGAUGAUUGAAUUCACAUAUGGGGUAUAUGUAUUAUUAUUACCUUUUGUACUUUUAAUAUAUUAUCAUGUUUGCAGUGAUGACUCGGAAUAUGAGUUUAGAAUUGUGAAUCAAAUAUUUACACGUACAACUGUUAAAAAACGCUUUACAUCUAGUAUCCACGAUUUUUAAGCAUUGUAAGUUCGAGAAACUUUUUAAAUCUAGACCGUUUGUUAACUCAUCCAACGGUUGAGAAUAUGUGUAUUGGUUACUGGCUCCCCAGCAAAUCAUAUGUUGGUUUCUCAUCCAACGGCCGGGAAUAUGUGUAUUGGUCGCCGGCUACCCAGCAAUCAUAUGCUGUGAACCAGGACCCUGAAACUUGGCCCUUAAACUUUCAAUUUAAAGGUAAAAACUUAAACACAUAAGUUGUGACGAAUGAAAAGAUCUUUUCAAAAAAAUAUGACUCGUUAAAACACGAUUUGCCUUGAAUCAAGAACUUAAUAAGAAGUUAGUUGACUCGAAAUUCAAAGGGAAAAAUAAGAUCCGAAGAAAUUUUAUUCUAUCAAGAACCAUUUGAAUAAUAAUCAGUAGAACAAUGCAACAAAAUUCGUAGAAAAUUGGAAGAGUUUUCUGAAACAUCAAUAAUCAAUGAAGAAUUUACUCUACCAAUAAAAAAGAUGAUGGGUAAGUAAGAGGGAACAUGAUACAUAUAUAGAACUUAAAAACUCUAAUUCUAAACAUAUUAGUUAUUUCAAUUCUAAUUCAAUUUUAUAUCCCAACCCUAAUCAAAAUGAAUCGUUUAUAUAUAUGACUAGUUGAGAAGCCGCUCGUUACAGCGGGUUAUAAAAAUUAUAUUAGUGAUUCAAAAUUAAUAUUUAUAAAAUAAAAUAAAUUUGCGGCGUCUUAUAAAAAUUAUAUUAAUGAUUCAAAAUUAAUAUUUACAGAAUUAUAUAAAUUUCAUAUUAUAAACAUCUCGAGUAUGAAAAAAAAUACAUGAGAGUAUAUCCUUGUCAUUAAUACGAACAUUAAUAAUGUCGGGACGUAUGAACUCAAAUCCAUGCAUGGGGUAUAUUAGUGUUUUUGAUAUGCACCUUUUUAAUAAUAAGGUCAUAGUCUUGGAAGAAAGGUAAUUUUGUUUCUUAAAAAUUAACAACAAACAUGUCCGAGAUGAACAAAACAAAUAUUACAAAGAAAUAACAACAAACAUAUAUUAUUAAUAGUUAAUUUAUUGACCUUUUCAUCCAUCAAUAUCAUGUCAAGAUUAUAUAUACUAUUCUCCCAUGUUUGGAUUUGUCGAUUCCCACAUCCGACAAACUCUUACUCUUAUCAGCCAAUUAUCUCUGUCGCCAUUCAAAGCAUCUAACAUAUCAAACAGAUAUUGUGGAAGUGUUGCAUGAAUAAUAUUUUGUUGUAUACAACUAUAUAAAAAUUAACAACAAACAUGUCCGAUGAGCAAAACAAAUAUUAUAAAAGAAUAACCAACAAACAUAUAUCACUAGCAGUUAAUUUAUUGACCUUUUCAUCGAUCAAUAUCAUGUUAAGACUAUAUUCUUCUCCCAUGUUUGGAUUUGUCGACUCCCAUAUCAGACAAACUCUUACACUUAUCAGCCAAUCAUCUCUAUUGUCAUUCAAAACAUCUAGCACAGUAUAACUCAUCAUUGUAAAAGAUGGGGAAGAUAAAUAGGCACAAAGAAAUCAUUUAUGUUAAAUUUUAGAUAAAUUUACAAAAAUACAUAUACUUUUAACCUUUGUUUUUAAUGUUACCGUGAUUAAUUUACUCUUUCAAUUCUAUAUUAUUGUUUUUUUUACUUUUACCAUUUAGUUUUAGUUUUAUGUUUCACUCUAUAUAAAAAUGCGCUCCUUCAUUAUCAAAGCAAAAGAAGAGUUAGCAGGUCUUCUUCUCCUCCAUUCACGGAACUGAAGCUUCGUCGUCUUCUCCUCCAGCAACAUCAUAUCCCAUUUGGCGAGUUUCAACAUAUUAUCUAUCGUCGAUUAUCUGAAUUCGUAAUCUCACACACAAUCUCUCUCUCUCUCUCAAGCUUUUCAUUCUAAUUUUCAUGUAUUGAUGAUUCCAAUAGUUUUCAUUGCAUAAUAAUAUUGAUUGUUUAUCGGUGUUGGUAAAAGGAUUGGAAAUAUGGUUGUAUUUCAAUUAGUUAAAUUGUUCAUUAAGUGUUUGAUAUAAUGUCAUAGAGAAAUACUAAUUGCAUUUUUUCUAAUUUUGGUUACUUUAAAAGUUGUAUUCUUGUCCUUAUAGUAUGUGAAACAAAUGCAAAUAAAUGUAUUUGAUUUUGAUUUUUGUUGCUAGCUGCUAACUCCUAAUCCUGUUGAUAAGGAAUUUCUUGAUUCCAUGUGAUAUCAUUCCAGGCCACGCAAGGGCAAUUAUCCUAAUUAUCUAUUUCGACUAGCUUGCAACCUUUGUAAUCGUACUUGUAGCCUUUGCAAUCAUGGUUAUAACUUCUUGCAAGUUCUGCAAACAUGCUUGCAAAGGUUGCAACUUACGAUUAUACAUUUAUAAAAGCUCACACAUGACUCACACAUGUUGUGCAUACAUUCUUUCGGAAGAACAACAGUAUCCGAGUGGAAGAAAAGCAAUGAGAUCAACCCGCCUUUUUUUAUUUGAUAUGCGAUCACACUUUAAUUUGGAGUUCUCUAAAUUACUGUUCAUUGUCGAUUAACAUGUAUAUAUAUAAGAGACAUUCUAUAUAUAAUUCAGACAUGUAUUAUUCACUAAUUGUCGCUCUAUCCACUCAGAUUUUGUAGGCUUUUUUUUGGUCUUUCAGUUUUGAAUUGUGUGGAAAAGGCUCCGCAUGGGGCUUCCAUCUUAACCAGUUGCAACCUUUGCAACCCUGUUUGCAACCUUGAUUGCAGAAGUUGCAACCCUUACAUUAUUUAUGUAAAUCACAUUAUUUAAUUUUAACUAAGGAUUAGUUCUAAUUAUAUUUGAUUGUCUUUUUUUUAUUGACAAUUUUUUUUUAACUAUUUGUGAAAGGCAUAUGUUAAGCCUAUUUGUAAUUAAGAGGAAUCAACUCAACUCUGAUAAGAAAGCAAGUAAAUAGCAAGUACUGUUAUCCGGAAUCCGUAUGAAGAACGUCAAAUGAUUUAUUGAAGAUUUUAUGUCAGAAGAAUUUCAGGAUGCUGCUGCAAACCACUGGAAGAAGUUCAUUAAUAUGAUCAAGCCUCAGUGUACAAAUAAUCUUUUGUAGCACGUCCAGAAGAUCAGAAGGUAUAAAGUUUCAAUACUUUAUUUAUUCAGAAGAUUCCAUCAUUGUGUCUACAAAUGAAGAAGAACUAAGAAGACGAAGAAUCGACGAACAAGUCACAGCUUAAUUGUUUAAAUGACAAGGAAUAUUUAAUUGAGCUAGUUACAGAUGAACCAGACAGUACAUUUGUGUAUCAGCUCAUCUGAUUAAAUAUUCUACGUCAAAAAAAAGUGGUCGUUCACUCAAGUCGAAGAUCUUAAUUGUCUACAGAAGACUGAAGACUCUGAAGAAGAAGAAAAGGGAUAAUUGAUUAUCUAAUUAUUUAAUCCAAUUCUCAAAAUAAUUAUAUAUGAUGUGUAAUUUAUUUAUUAAAUUAAUUCUAUCUCGAAUUAAUUUAAUUUAUGAAUUUAUGCAUUUAAUAUAAUUAAGUGGAUGUUAAUUGGUUAAUUAAUUAAAGGAAUAUAAGCAUUUGUCUUGUUGGAUCAAAAGGAAAGACAAUUACUAUGAUUGUCUUAAGAAAUAACAAGGUAAGACAAUCAAACAGAUUGUCUUACCGUGCCAUUUCCUUCCUCCAACACACGGUAAGACAAUCCCUCAGAUUGUCUUACCGUGCCAUGCAAUUGUCUUACCGUGUGGAUGCCAAGACAAACCCACAGAUUGUCUUACCGUGUGGCUUCCAUGACAAUCCAUCUGAUUGUCUUACCGUUUGGAGUAGACAAACCCACAGAUUGUCUUACCGUGUGGCUUCCAUGACAAUCCACCUAAUUGUCUUACCGUUUGGAAGGAAAGACAAUCUUACAGAUUGUCUUACCGUGCCCUGAUUGUCUUACCGUGUCCCUGAGAUUGUCUUACCGCUUCUGAUUGUCUUACUAAGCUAUAGACAAUGCUUAUGAUUGUCUUACCUUAUGUUUUUCAGCAAGACAAAGUGCCAAAUUGUCAUAGCAACCACUAGAUUGUCUUUGCCACCAUUGUCUUGCCUAGUUCUUGAGAUUUGCCUAUAAAUAUGGUUCAUUCUCAUUCAUUUGUAAGUGUUCAAAGUGCUUGUAAGCUUUCAAGUUGUGCUAAACUUGCUAUUCGUUAAAACCACAGUUUACUGUGCUUUGAUCAUUCGGUUGUUUUGUUCCACUGAGUUAGAAUACUUUCUGUCAAAUUUAUUCUACGAACUAGUGGACAUUAAAACGAACCAUAUUAAUUAUAUAACGACUUAAAACAUUGUUAUAUUAAUUAAUCUUAAUCUGAUUAACAAGUUACAUUCCAAUCAGAUUUAUUCCGCCGCGAUUAUUUUUAGUGACGAUUGUAUUCAACCCCCCCUUCUACAAUCGUUCCAGGACCUAACAAUCUGUGUUGCACUUCAGAGUGGAAGCACUUUUUUCUCUUUGUCGUAUAUCAAUCAAGUUACGGCCAAUGUUGAUGAUUGAGAUGCUUGGCUCCAAAACAAAAAAAAUAUUGCUGAUAAGAAUGUAGAAAUUGAAUAUGAGGAAGAAAAUAUAGAGGAUGAGGGUGAGAAUUCAGAAGAUACAUUUCAGAAUGUUGUGGUUGACAAUGAGGUUAAGAAUAAUAUUAGAAUCAAAUUGCAAAGGGUGGGCGCGAGGUUGCAAAGGUUGGAACUGGUGUCUCAAAUGUUGCAGCUGAGGGCAAUGAGGAUACAACAAUGCAUGGAAGAGAAUCGAAAAAUUCUUCAACAACAAAGGUUUCAUCAAAAAAUGCUCCAAUAACAAAGCCAUGUGAAGAAAAUAGAAUGAAAAAAUGAGUUGUAUUUUUCAUUAAAUGACAUUAAGUAGUAGAAUGUUGUUGACAUAACUAUAUAGUUCUUUUGGUUCAAGGAAUUUGAUAUUUUAUAAUCAGAAGUGAGUAAAACAAUGCAUGGACCUCAAUUGGUAUAAUAUGAAUAAAAUUUGAAAUCAUGUGGAAUAGGCCCCGUAGGGGCACCCAUCUAAAUCAGUUGUAAUUUUUUGCAACUAUGGUUGCAAAAGUUGCAAACAUGGUUGCAAAAGUGGAAACCAUGGUUGCAAAAGUUGCAAACCACAUCUGCUACUUAUGAGAUAUAGUUUUUCUGUUUAAACAAUAUAUGCAAUAUUUUUGCAACUUAAUCAACAUGCAAUUCUACUCAAAGUCAAAAGAACUUGGAAAUUUAUAAACACAAGUCAUAUCGGCUGCAUUAGUAUUUUCAACUUGAUCAAAUUACCAAUUCACUUAUGAUUUAUUUAAGAUAUUUUUCAUAAAUACCUAAGUCCAAAAUUGUUUUUACAAAAAUAUAUCAUCUUUUUUAAAUAUUUUGCAAAAACACCAAAUUUUGAAAAUAUUUGCAAAAAUACUGUAUGCAACCUGUUGCAACCACAUGCAACCAUACUUGUAACCACAUGCAACCAUAUUUAUGACCCCUGAUAAGUGCAUAUUUUUGUAUAUUUUAAAUGCCUAAUUAUUGCUUGUUCUCACUUAUUUAUUUGUUUAUUUGUCUUUUUUGUAGGAAUAUUGCAAAUGCUUGAAGAAAUAAAAGAAUAAAGCAAAAAAGAGAAAAAGAUGGAAGAAAAGGAUCAUAGGGGAAUAUUCUCAAGGAAGCAUCUAGAUGGGACACCUACACCCCCCCUCUACCCUAAUUUCCCCCUAUAAAUACACACCUCCCCAUCAUGUUUCAACCAACCUAGGAUUUCAUAUUUUUAGUAGCCUCUCUUUUAUGUAGUAGAUCUAGUAGUAGCACUCUAAAUUUGUAAACACUUUUAUUAUAUCAAUACAAGUAUUCAUUUUUGUUCUUAAAUCUUGCUCUUUACUUUUACUUCUAGGCUAUAAAAACUUUCUCUAACCACAUGAGACUCAAAAUUACUUGUGGAUUGAAGGGAGCCUAAUUAUAUGUUUUAAGCUUGCAAUUUUUUAGUAUUUAAAUUGAGCCCCUUUUAAUUCUCAAUAUUAUUAGUGGGUUCAAUGGUUUAGUAUUCUAGAUUUUGGUUUUAGCUUGUAGUUUGAUGGGGUUUUGUUAGAUACAUGGUAGAUAAGCUAGUUUUGAAGUUUUGUUUGAUUUGGAGUUAGUUUGGUAGGAUUUGGUAUUGUUCUUGUUCUUGGUUUUGGUAUUUUUUGGGGCUUUUGGGUGUAAAUUUUAGUUUGUGAUUUUGAAUUGAGGUUAGUGGGUUUAUGUUAGAAAUAUUUUGCUUAGGUUAGAUUUGAAAUUUGGUGUAGUUUAGAGUUGUUAUGAUUUGAUUUGAGUCUUAUUUUGGUAAAAAUGGGUAGUUUAGGGGCUUUUUAGUGUAGAAUUUGUUGUUGAAUUUGAUUUAAAGGUUAGUGGGCUUUGAUUUGUAAUAUUUGGAAUGGCUAGAUUUUCCGGUCAAAUAAAUUUUCCGGUGAGAUUUAAGCUAUUUCGGGCACCUCCAUGAUUCCGGCGGGUUACUCUUGACUUUUCCGUCGUCCGAUAAAUGUUUUAGUUUCUGUUUGUUUUCUGGUCAGUACUGUUGCUUUACGUUUCGACCACGCGUCCAUUUCUUUUAUUAUUAUUAUUAUUAAUUUGUUUUCUGAUCUGUUGUGUUUGCUCGGUAGUCACGUGAUUAUAUUAUUAUUGUUUUCCUCCCGCGAACUGUACACACACAGUCACUAAUCCUUAUUGUAUUGUUUUAUCCGAUUAUUAGUUAAUUAUGUAAUUAAGUAUUUAGUUAACAGUAUUAAUUAGGUAGUAUAUUAUAAUAAUAAAAUCCUUCAAAAAUUAAUCGGUCUAAUUCGCCUAGGUUAAUAAUUAGAGGUCGCGAAAAGUUAAAUUUAAUCUCUGUGGACGAAUCUAAAAUAUUAAAACGGUGAUCGUGCGCUUGCGAUUUAAAGGUAUUAUUUAUAGCACAUCAAGUUUUUGGCGCCGCUGCCGGGGACUAAAAUUAAUUUUCACGCCUUAAUUUUUAAUUUUUCGGAUUAGUUUUUUUUAUUAUAUAUUCUCUCACUUUUUUUUUGUUGAAUUUUAGGAAAUUGGAGGAAUAUGAGCUAGCUUGGAAUAAGUGGAGAAUAUUCUUGGAGUAUUGGAAGCUUGCUUGGGUAACUUGUAUCUCUCUCCUAUCCCCUACGGGGCCAAUUAACUGAUGUUGCAUCUGGUUGCAGACCGUAUUUUUGCAAAAUAUUUUUAAAAAGUAGGUAUUCUUGUAAUUUUUUUCAAAAGAUAGUAAAAAUCGCAUAAAAGUUAGAAAAAGUGGUAUUUUUGAUAAAUUCCCUUUAUUUAAUAUCUAUUCAUUAAUUUUUUUCACUUAAUGAUUUUAUGUAGAAUAGGCCCCGCAGGGGCACCCCUCUUAAAAGUAAAAUUCCAAAUAAUAUGUCAGUUAAAUCAUAUUACAAUAUUUUUUGGAGGGGGUUGAAAAUUUGUUUGCGCGCAAUUGUUACAAUCAUGGUCGAAACAUUUGCAAUCAUAGUUGCAAAAGUUGCAAGUAUGGUUGUAGCAUUGCAAAAGUUGCAAUUAUGGUUGUAGAAGUUGCAAACCACAUAUGCUACUUACAACAGAUACUUUUUCUAAUUUAAACAAAAUACGCGAUCUUCUCCUACUUAAUGAACAUGUAAUUCUACUCAAAGUCAAAAGAACUUGGAAACUUAUAAACACAAGUCAUAUCGGUUCCAUUAGUAUUUUUUUUUGCUAAGCAUUCCAUUAGUAUUUUCAACUUAAUCAAAUUAGCAAUUCACUUAUGACUUAUUUAAUAUCUAUUCAUUAAUUUUUUUCAGGUAACCAUCUUAAUAGUAAGAUUUCAAGAAAUCUAUCCAUUAAUCAUAUCACAAUCUUGUUUGUAGGGGUUGGAAAUUUAUUGCAACCAUGGUCGCAAAAGUUGCAACCAUAGUUGUAGAAGUUGCAAUCAUGGUUGCAAAAGUUGCAAAUUGCAUAUGCUACUUAUGACAUAUAAAUUUUCUAUUUAAACAAAAUAAACAAUAUUUUUGCAACUUAAUGAAUAUGAAAUUCUAAUCAAAGUCAAAAGAACUUGGAAAUAAUAUAUACAGUAGGUAUAUCAAAUUAUAUAAUCACGGCAAAGAAAAAAAUGGAAGAAGUCGAUCUAGAAAUGGAACAAGUCCUUUCUGCCUGAUAUGUGGAUCAAAUGAGUUUACAAAGCAACUUAAAAGCCAUGGACCUAGGGUAUGAUUACAAAAUAGUAUUACAAUUGGACACACACACAGUAAUGUAAAUACAAGUAUCAAUUGCUCAGGUCUGACCAACAAGAACAUCUCUGUAAGGAGUUGGAUUUGGAGUUGUAGUAUGUUAAACUUCUACAUUAUUCCCUUUUCUCUUUCCCCUGCUCUUCAAGGAUGAGAGGUACUCAGGCUUCCCGUUCAUCAUCUAAUCGUCCGUGCUCCGCGUCUCAGUUUUUCUGGCCUUAGACCAUCUACUUGUUGCAUCUUGAACUUUGAUCACAUUUGCUAAUCCACCGAUGAAAAACAAAAGGCUUCCAAAUAUAUUUAACCAGAUCAAUGUUCCACUCUGCAUCCAGCAAUACAUUAUUUUUAACAAGUAUAUCCUAAAAAAAUUCUAUAAUAUACAUGCCUAUAAUUCAUAGACAAUAGAUCAAUAUCAUGUGUGCCACUCUUUGUCCCUUUUUUGCAGGGCAACAUAAUAGGUGCCUCCUCAAUAGAAUGUCAUCACAUUACUAAACACUUAAUCUAAUAAAGCAUGACAAACAUCAUAAACAAAGUCUCAUUUAAUCACAAACAUCAUAUCAUAAAUAUGCAUUCACUUCCUAAAACACAAAACUACACUCAUGAUUGCAUUAGAUCAAUACGAAACUAAAUUUUAUAUGUAUUUCUUUAACUACUUUUACCAACUGCAACUUUUGCUACCUUAUUUGCAACUUUUAUUAAUGUUUUAUGUAUUCUUUCCUGAUCAUAUGCUUCUGUCACAAUCAUGACUGCAUAAGAUCGAUAUGCAACUGAAUUUUAUAUGAUUAUUCAACAACUUUGACCCGUUGCAACUUUUGCUACCUUAUUUGCAACUUCUAUUAAAGUAUGUUCCUCAUCAUAUAUACAAUUCAAACACAACUCUCAACAACCAAUAUAUACUACAAUCAUGAAUAAAAACAUACAUAAAACACACAAAUAACGUACAUACAUACCGCUCUUCUAGAACAAAACUCAUUAUCUCAGUUUGCUAUCUCUAUAUCAAUUAACAUUCUUCAUAUAUACAUAUAUUACACACAUAAAUUCACUUACAAAUCUCAGUCGUUGCCGCUUGUUGCCGGUCCAAUUCAACUCGAAUUCACUGUCAAACUGCCCCGCAACCAAUUGAGCGCAGAAGAAGAAUUUAUGUUGGAGAAGCUGCAUGAUUGAGAGAGAUGAGAAGCUGCGUGAUUCCGAGAGAUGAGAAGUUGCGUGAGAGAGACGAGAAUUUGCGAGCGUUGAGAAGCUGCGGUUGAGAGGUUGUGAGAGACGAUCUGUUUGAGUGAGAGAGAAGCAGCUGUUUAUGACGAAUAUAAUUUUAAAAAUAAAAACUGUCAAACCGUACGCUUGUAAUAUGUGAAAAGUUGGACCGUAUAUUUAAAAGCCCAAUAGUUAAGUUAGAUAGUUAUAAAAUUAAGUGAAAUUAUGUUAAAGUUGUAUUCCUUACCACUUGCAUUCAUCUUUCUCAAAAAUUCCAGAGCACUGACUAGUAAUGGAAAUUAUACUAUUUUAUACCUGCUUUUUUACUUGAAUUUCCUCUUUAUUUAAAACUGGAGCACAUGAUGUGAAAGACCAGGAGUCUUGUUGAAAUGCUAUAAAAUUAGUGGCCUGAGAACUAAAUAUAACCAAUAUAUAAUAUACAGAAGCUUUUAUGACUGAAAAUAUUAAAAUUUUAUUUUGGUGCCAUUUAUUAAUGAAAUACAGAAGUAGGUCGAUCCAUAUAGGCUGCCUUUUUACUUAGGAAGUAAAUUCCAUGAUAUUGCAAUCGUUCUGGAAUUUUGACAAAUCACCGACAUUCAAAUUUACCCAAGCUUCAAUCCCUUCGCCUGAUUUAUCAGAAAUUAAGAUAGCACUAUUUUGGAGAGGGAUGUAGGAAGCACUGACCCAAAUAGGAAGUCCCCAGCCGAAGUCAGUUUCAUAAAAUGGAAACUUAGUCCAGUCAGAAAAUAUACAGACAAUGGAAUGCCCUGGUUUAGAAAUAGUCCUGUUUGUCAAAUUAUUGAAGGCAUGAGCUAUCAUCAUCUGCCCUUCAUCUCCAAGUGAGAGUAACGUCUUGCAGUCCUCGAGGGCUCUACUGACAGAGGCAGAAAGUUGCUUUACAAGAAUCGGCAACUCCACCCCUUUUUCAUCUGCAACAGAUUCAGCAGAAGUAAACAAAAACAUAUUACCGCAAUGGUCUUUGGGCAAUGGUGGAUGCAUUCUUUCCCUCAUAUUUAGUGCCUGGGCAAUCAUGAAUCUCUUAGGGUUUGCAGGGUUAGCCACAGAUAAAUCAAUAAUAGCUUUUCCUAUUAUCCCUAACACCGAUUGCACCUUUGAGGGUAACUUCUCGCUUAAGCUGUCUAGUUUGGCCUUGUCUCGAAUUCUGAUGAUAUCACUCUUGCUAAAAUAUAAAAAUUUUGUAAUGAUAUCAAGAUCCUCAACACUUUCUUUAGCCCUAGGAAUUCCAAAGGGAAUAGGUGACAGUUUUUUCCCUGGAAAGAACAAAGCUGAGUUCCAGCUUGGUGAGGUUGACAUGUGAUCAUCUUCCUCAGCGCCCUCUAAUAGUCUCUUUGAAUCAGUAGCCCAUUGUUUGAUGAAUGUGCAGGUGGUUGACAUGUCAGCAACUCUGUGUGAAGUCAUUAUGGCAAUGGCAUAUCCACCGCAGGCAAAAGUACUUAACUGUACUGCAAGCAGAGGGUCAGUGAUUUCAUCACUUGCACCAAUUGGAUAUGGGAGUAAGCAAUUAAGACCAUCAACCUUUAAAUAUUCCCUUCUGCCAAGAAGAUCAUGGAGCUCAACAUCUACUGUGGCUUCAACAAAGUAGGCACCAUCAUCACUACACUCAACCAUAUAAUAAUCUUUCAUGUAUCUUCCAGCUAAUGGAUAGAAUGGGGUCAAGGCUUUUGAUAAUGCCUUUUUCAAGAUAUUGCUACUUGAAUGGCUAGUAGAAUCACCGGUGCCGCAACUUCGGGUAUUACGGGGGUAAUAUAAAAUGACAGGAGUAUUCAUUGUUGGGCAUAGUUCAUCUACUAAUGAUAUACGAUAGUGCUGGAAGCUAGGUUUAGUAGAAUUGUAUGGUUUUAGAAGCUCCUUUGAUAGGAUGUCAACUUUCAUCUUGGUCUUCAAAGUGUGAGUGUUGUUGUUUUGAUUAUCUACUGGAUGGCUCAAUAUAUAGGGAAAUAGCCGACAAAAUGAACCAAUCAGGAAUUGGCACCAGACAGUGGACAGUCAACAGCAGACAACUACGAGUAAUAUAUAUUUGAAAGGACAACUAUUUCCUUAUGUGGCAACUGAGACAGCUUAAUGUACACUCAACAAUACACUAUAAUAAAACUUUAUAUAAAUGAACCAAUCAGGAAUGCGUUUGUACCUCAUAAUGAUUGGCACAGACAGUGGACAUUCAACAGCAGAGAACUAAUAUAUCUGAAAGGAUAACUAUUUCCUUUGAGGCGACUGAGACCGCGUAAUGCACACUCAACAGUACAUCGUGGAAACUCUUAGAAAUUAAUACGCGGUAAAUUAAUAAACUUUGUAAAAUAAUAAAUUUAUCCGGUCUCGACUUGGACUAAUGUAAAAAAAUGAAAAAAUCGAUAAAAUAAUAAGAUAAUAACUUUUUGGGAGAUCCCUUUAUAAUUUUCGGUCCCAAGAAAAUCAUAAAUAAAUUAUUUAUAGAAACUGAAAAAGAUAUAUUACCACUCUGUUGAAAUAUGAUUCAAUAGUUGUCUGUUUUCCUUUUAAAUUUCACAAUAUCUUUGAGAUGAGAAGCUAUCUUGUGAUAUAUGUUUUGAAUACUCUAACAUAUUCAUGUAAUUUAUAUAUGCCAAACUUGUCCAAGAAUAGGUUGAACACAUUUAUUCUAGAACAAAACUCUUAAUCUUUUUUUUUUUUGCCGGAACAAAACUCUUAAUCUUAGUUUGCUAUCUCUAUAUCAAUUUACAUUAUUCAUAUAUACAUGCAUUAAACACAUAAAUUCACUAUUAGCAUUAAUAUAUGUUAUUGAUGAUAGUUUUAUAUUUUUUAACUAAUUAAAAUUAUAGUUUUCACAUUUUUUUUAUUUAUAAAAUAUAUUAUUUAUCUUAUCUCGGUUAUAUGAUAAAUUCAUUUUGUUUCUGGAGUAGAAGACAUUGGAGUUAAAACGAUUUUCCCUUAUUUAUUUAAUUUUUUAUAUUUGAUUUCUAGUUUGUCUUUAUAAGUUAUAAAUUUAUUUAUAAGUAUUUUUAAGCAAGAAAUGUUUGCAAGAUUAGCUUUUUAAUUUUCAUGUAAGCGGCCAAGUAAAUUUUUAUUUGGGAGGUUCUUCAAUAUAAAAAUUCUCCGAUGAAAAAAAUAAAUACAUAUGAAAUUUUGAAAACCCUCAUGUUCAUUAUUUCUAUUUGUACUUUUAUUGCUCUUGUGUUUGAAUACAUAUCUUUAUUCGAAAUAGUGAUAAAUUUAGUAGAUUGUAUUUAACCCCUUUUACAAUCUAAUCUCAUUGUUUCAAUUGUAAAAUAAUGAUUGGUAUCGGAGCAGAAUUCUAAUAUACAAGAAUACAAGAAAUAAAGAUCGGAAACAAUCACUAAUGGGAAGAAUUGAUGAAGGUUUCAAUAUCCCAAUGCUUACAUGAAUUGUAUUGAGAAAGAUCCACAUGUCCUAGUUAAAAUCAACACUACUAUCGAAGGGGGUUGAAUAUAGUGGAAUACAAUCAAUUCGAACUACUAAUACAAAAUAUAUAUAUAUAUNNNNNNNNNNNNNNNNNNNNNNNNNNNNNNNNNNNNNNNNNNNNNNNNNNNNNNNNNNNNNNNNNNNNNNNNNNNNNNNNNNNNNNNNNNNNNNNNNNNNNNNNNNNNNNNNNNNNNNNNNNNNNNNNNNNNNNNNNNNNNNNNNNNNNNNNNNNNNNNNNNNNNNNNNNNNNNNNNNNNNNNNNNNNNNNNNNNNNNNNNNNNNNNNNNNNNNNNNNNNNNNNNNNNNNNNNNNNNNNNNNNNNNNNNNNNNNNNNNNNNNNNNNNNNNNNNNNNNNNNNNNNNNNNNNNNNNNNNNNNNNNNNNNNNNNNNNNNNNNNNNNNNNNNNNNNNNNNNNNNNNNNNNNNNNNNNNNNNNNNNNNNNNNNNNNNNNNNNNNNNNNNNNNNNNNNNNNNAUAUAUAUAUAUAUAUAUAAAACUCUUACAGAGAAUAUGACCGCUCGUAAUAUUCUUAAUAUUAAAAGUGACCCCAUAUAUUAUUAACCUAUGUUGUGUUUAUGUAACACACAGUUACAAGAUAUCUUCGAUAUAAAUCAGCUUCCUAAAAGCGAUCAAUCAGAUAUUCUUAUACUAAUCUUCCUAAAGUCCUUAGCUGUCAUAUCUCCAUAGAAUAGACAUGUUCCUGAAAAUCAGGGGCCUGCAACUCUCAAGAAUAUCCGUCUUGAAUAAACUAUGAUAUCUUCCUUGUUCCCGUAAACUAUCUUUAGUUAAACUUUGAUAUGCAUCUUCCAUACUUUUGUUUUAAUUGGAGUGUGUCAGUUCAAAUAUAACAAAUACAACGGCUUUUAUAUAUCUUUACAAAAUCAAUUCAAUGUUAAAUAAGUUCUGAUCCUAAUUUAAACAAUCUUAAUAUAAGGUUCUACUUAAUAUUACUAACUCAAAAUUAGCAAGGACAAGUUUGAUAAUGUCCAAAACUAAAAUUUAAAGUAUUAGAAAUAAAAAGUAUAGUUGAAUAGCUCAAAUGUUAAGAGUUUAUUCUCUGUCGCUCCACAUCUUAAUUCAGCCCGAGAGGAUAUCUUACUUACUUUUAAGGCAUGUGUUUGAUUAUUUUGAUUAACAAAAAAUUAGAUUCCAUCCUCAUCUCAGAUCGGGGUUCAACAUAUCUUAUUUGUAAGGCACGUGCUUGAUCAUUUUUAUUAAUUAAAAUUUAGAUUCAUUCCAUUUCAACACCUCUCUUCUCGUCAUUUCCGAGAAAGUCAGUGGAUAUUAUUAUUAUAUUUUAUUUAUGCAACUCUAAUAAUUUUGGAGUCUGAAAUCAAAAUAUUAAAAAUAUAAAAAUGUAGGGAGAAAAAUUACUCUAACUAUAUCCUUAUGAAUCCUUAAAUUAUUAAGAUCUUUCUUUUAUUAUUUAUAUUUAGCUAACCUCUCUUUUCUCUUAUUCUUAUUUCAUAAUAUAUGUUAGAAAUAAAUAGUUUCUUUCCCCACUUUAUAUAAUAACUAGCCCUAAAACCCGUGUAAGGCACGGGUGUUGUUCCUAGUCUUCUGAGGUUAAUUUCCACAUUUACCUAGUAGGUGUUUUAUGCACAAGAAACGUUUUGAAAGAAUGAAAUAACAGUUGCUGCAGCUGAAGGCCAAUUAGAAAUUGCAAGUAACUUUUGACGCGCAAGUUAGGCUAUGAAAUGGAUUUCCCAACCUGUAUCAAAUACGAAGAGCUAACGCUCUAACUAUGCAUAUGCAUGUACACCAUAUCGGAAUAGUUCAUUGUACAGUAGAGGCCAAAUACAGAAGGUUGCAUUGUAGGAAACCUUAGCAAUUAAUCGUUUAUAUGUGAGACCUACAUAUAUAACCAAUUGUUUUAAAGGUUUCUUAAAAACCUAUAUUUCUUGCAAGAGAUGAGAAUAUAACAUUUAGAUGGAGAAGAAUAAUUCCGGUAUCUAUGAAAAAGAUUAUUCUCAUUUAAAGAAUCUAAGAUAAGUGGAAUUUGACUUGUUAUAACCUUCAUCCACCUCAAUUUAUGUUGUCUGUAUCUUUUCUGUAUAAGAGAAAAUUAUAUUUUUUCUUACAAGAAAACAUAUAUAAUCAAUUGUCUCAUUGCAGUGGAUCAUCCCUAGUUAGUUGUGAGGCAAGAAAUAUUUUACUAAAGAAGUAGCUAAAAAAAUUGUGUCAAAAGUUGUAUCAGGUUGAGGGAUCCUAUGAUUCCUUUAACUCACCUUUAGUCUUCAACAUUUUUCAUGUAUUAUUUAUUACUAUUAUCUAAUGGCACGUGUAAUUCUAAUAUCCGGUGAGUUGUGAUCGUCAAGCAAUUUUCAGCCUCUUGUUCAAGUUUCCGACAGCCUGGACUUCUGUUGCAGUUGUUGUAUGUGGCUAUGUGCAUUUGUUUUUAAGGCCUCUGCCUCUCAGUGUGCGCCUAAUUUUGAAGCCUCCACAUCUGUGUGUGCGCCUACUUUUGAAGCCUCUGUAGCUACCUCUUCCAUGACUCUUGUGACUGUGUAUUCCUCACAUCCGUGUGACGUGUUGUAUGGUGUGACCUUAAUUUGAAAGACACAAACCUUUCCGAUGAUGUUAUUCACCGCUGCAGGAAUCUUGGACAUGUCUCUUCAUCCUAUGUAUAGGGAAGCAAUGAUGGUGUAAUAUUGUAAUGUGUAUUGUGAAACCCGAGUUGAAAUUGUUAUUACCUGGCCUAGCUCCUGCAAAAUUUUUGCCACGGGCACACCAACAAACUGCUCCGCUUCCUUGUUGAAAAGUGUUAAGCUUUUUUUCCCAGUUGUGUCUUCAACAGAGACCCCUACUCUGAACCUGCAUGAAUAUUUGUGUUUAUUUGACUUAGACAUGUGGUGUGAAGAAUAUCAAGCUGCAAAAAAACUUGGUCACUUUUAGUUGCAGUGACUAAUGGAAGUGAUUGUUGUUCACCUCUGUGACACUGGAUCUGCCGGUUGCGCACAUGUAAGCAGACUGUAAUGAGCCUUUUAAUUCACCGAAGCAGUUGUUUUUUCAUGUGCAAUCUUUGCCUGAUAUUUUGGAUGCAUCAACUUUCCAUCUCUUUCUUCAUGCUCUCAACAUAUCAUUCUUGAUGCUAUCAUCGUAUCUUCACUUUAACCAUAGUUUCAUCUCUAAUAAUAUAGCUCAUGUUAUCUUAUUAUCUAUAUAUUUUAAAGAUAAUAUUUUAAUAUGUAAUAGCGUGAUUUUCUGUUUGAAAUUACCUAGGCUUAUAGACGUUUUUUAAUUUAAAUAGUUACAAGUGUUUUGGUUAUAAUAGCUAGGUUUCUAAUAAGACCCUUAAAAUAAGUUUUCAAUAAUUUGGCCUGUUAAAUUAGGCUCUUAAAAUAAGUAGGCCAUAUAGAUGUUUAAAUAAGAAUAGUUAAAAAUGUUUCAUAAUAAAAGUAUAAUAUUUCAGCUUUAAUAAUUAUGUAUCUGGAUCAGGUUUGUGUUCCUGGUUAAUAACCUUGUUCUUUUUCCUCCACAUUAUUUAGAUGAUAUAAUGUAUGGUCUGGCUGCACAGAUGGUAAGCAAUUUCUUUCCGGAUCCUGUAAUUUAGUUCUCGUAGCUUUGGAAUUCAUUUCAGUUCUAUGGUACACCAACACAACAUUAGCAAUAUAUAUCCAUAUAGUCUGGUGAAUAUCUACAACUGCCACUGCAAACUUUCUAAUCAAUAUUUUUAAGUUAGGCAAUAUGGUCAUUGUUAAUGUAAAGUCCAUCCUGGAUUCUAUUAAAGAUUUCGAACUUACUUUUACAAGCACAUAUUACAUAUUUAUCAGUUGGUGUUGCCUGCACAAAUCUGGCAUAGAUAAAUGUGUUGAAGCCAUUCGGAAACUUGGUGUGAUGAAAACACAGAAUAAACUAAUAUAAUGCUCUUACUUGUUGGUCGACUUGCGCUAGUUCGCUGUCUGGCCAAUCUCCUCUGCUCUAGAAUCUCGUCUAUUACACCAAUUCUUGGCCGUCCUCUUUUCCUAGAUGGGCCUCCAUUUUCAUGACCUGUUAUAGUUCAUAUUGAAUUUUGUAAAGCGUCCUUGCUAUAAAAACAACAUGAGACUUUGAAGAAUACAUGCAAACACUAAAUUCGGUAAUGAGUUCCAAGCAAGGAAAAGAGCAUCACGAAGAAAGACCAUAACCGAGGAAUGAAGAUUCUUUACUAUAGUUCAUAUUUUUUAAUUUAACGGAGGUGGCGACUGAUUCACCCACCAUCAUAUAUAUCUCAGCAGCCAGCACAGAAAUAAAUAAUUAUGAUUACGAUAACUAAUUAGAAGACGAUUUUACCUGAGGAGAAUGAUGAGGAAGAUGAAGCUUGCCUUUUAAAUUAGGCGUUUAGUAAACAGGGCGAUCAGAGGAAGAUGGCGUUUGUGUGUAUAUGUAGAAUAUGUAGUGUGUGAUAGAUGGAUUCCGGCAGGCUACUGAAUGGGUUUGGAAUUUUGAUCCGGUUUGAUUCUUUGCUCAUUGUAUCAUAGACUCCGCUGCUCUUUUCAUCUCAACAGGAACGGGCUAGCAGGAGCAAAAUGGUAUUUUCAGUUGAUUAAAAAGUCUCAGUCAUACUGAAUUUUGUAAAUUUCCAUUGAGAUAAAACAACACGGGACCUUGAAGAAUAUGUGCAAACACUAAAUCCAUCAAUGAGGUGCAAGCAAGCCUAAAUAUAUGAGUUUCAUGAACUUUGAAUUCACAGUUGAUAAGGUGAGCUACUUGAAAAAAGAUGGCAACUUCUAUCUGUUUAUCUAUUUUUCAGGAAUACUAUCAGGCAUUGUUUCUAUUAGUUUUAUACUUCUUAAUAACAUUUGUUUAGGCUUUAAUUCUUCUUAAUUUUUCUGCCUUGAGUCGCAUUACUUAAUUAUUUAAUUUGGUAACCCUUUUCCUGCAUCACUUUUGUAACCUUCUCUCUGCACUUUAAGACCACCUCACCAUGUAUAAAUGAGCAUUUCCUGUACACAACAGCACAGCAGAGCCAAUAGAAGUUAAGAACAACCAUGAUCCCCUGUUGUAUUAGCUCCAUCUUAUUUGUUUCAGUUGUAUUUGUAUCUUUAUCCGCAAGUCUUGCUAAGAUAACUGUGUUAUCAAUCAACGUGAUUAUUAAUCUAAUAAACAGUAUAUAAGUAAUGAAACCGCAACACCUUUAUUAGUCAAAAGAAGAGAAAGAAAUGGGAAGCUCACCCUAAUAACAAUCAGCUGGCCUGGUCCAAAUUAAUAUACUAAACAUGAUAUAAGUAAUGGAACCGCUACAUCUUUCUUAGUCAAAAGAGUAAAAAGAAAUGGGAAGCUAACCCUAAGUACAAUCACCUGGUCUAAUUCUGAUUUAACUUAAUUUUUUCACGCGAAGAUUAUAGCCUGCCAAAAAGCGGUACAUGUGGAGACCUGACCUAGGGAAAGAUGGAGCAGAGCUGAGGAUGCACAAAUUAAAAUGCAUGUUAAUGGAACCAAAUAAAGUGUUUGGGAAAAAACUUCCACCGGCACCGAUCAAUAGCCUAAGUACACUCACCUGGUCUAAUUACAUCUAACCUAGGGGACGCCGAAGCAUAGUCGAGGAUGUAAGCACUAAGUUCCACCUCAAUAGGCAGACAUCUUAAAUCAUAGGAGACUGUAAGCAAUCAUUGGAAGUGCUUGAAGCAGGGAGAGUGACCCGCUUGUGGUGGAAAACAUGCCACUUUCUAUGUAUACCGGAUCAAGCUAACAUACACAGGUUUACGGAGGCUGGAAAACAACCACAAUCAGAAAUAAGCCGCGGAUGAGCAUCAUGAAGAGAAGGCAUAACUGAGGAAGGAAGAAGGAAUGACCUGGUACCACGGAACUCGCGAUUGAUUCACCCAUCACCAUCUAUACUUCAGCAGGCAGCACAGAUAUGAAUAUAGCUAAGGCACAUCAGUCAAGUAAGUGCAGGGGCGGAAUUGGGGCGGGGCGGGGCUACAGCCCGGGCUAGACUAAAAAAUUUUAAUAGAAUUUUUUUUAAUCAUAGAUAUAUUAUAAAAUAAAGAAAAGAAAAUUUUUGAGCCCCAGAUAAUUUUUUUUUCUUUUCAAAAAAAAUUAUUAGCAAAAUAUUAAAAAAUGAAUUAAUUUAUUGCUUUAAUUGUUGUUUACAAUUUUGUUAGUUUUAGUUAUUAGAAUAAUCAAAAUUAAUAUAAUUAACAUUAAAAAAAGCAAAUGAAUCAGUAAAAAAAUUAAUCAAAUAGAUUAUACAUAUGAACAGAACAUCAGAACAUAUGCCCAAAGUUUCGCUAGUGCCUCGGUUCACAGUUCCGCAACCGGUUCACCAUUGGAUUCUUUAUUUCUGUCAAUGUGUCUUUUAUUGGUUUAGUCAAUAGUACAACUUAUCUAUUUGAGUAUGCCAUGUUUAUAUAUUCUGCUCAAAUUUGAUUUUGAGGUGAUUGAUAUUAUUUCUCGAGAGAUGGAAAAUCAUUUUUAAGAGACAAACAAUGAGCUGCUUACUUGCAUUGCCUCUCUUGAUCCCCGAAAUUCUUUUUUGGAUUUUGGUCAUGCAAAGCUUCUUCGAUUAGCACAGUUUUAUCCAAAUGAUUUCUCGUUAAUGGAUCAAGAACUGUUGGGUACUCAGUUAAACAACUUCAUCUUUGAUGUCCGAAGCGAUAAAAUAUUUCAGAACUUAAGAAUAUAGGGGAGGUUGCAAUUAAAAUGGUGAAGACUCGUAGACAUACAGCUUAUCUCUUGUUUAUCGAUUGAUUGAGUUAGCUCUUGUUUUGCCUAUUGCGAAAGCUACUGUUGAGAGAGUAUUCUCAGCAAUGAAAAUUGUGAAGUCUGAUUUGUGUAAACAGAUGGGGAUGAGUGGCUGAAUGACAGUAUAAUGGUGUACAUCGAGAAGGCAAUAUUUGCGACUGUGAAUAACGAAUCAAUCUUGCAACGUUAUCAGCAUAUGCAAACUCGGAGGAUUCAGUUAUCAUCUAUUAGUACUUCAAGUAAGGAUGAUAGCACCAGCACAUAAAAACAAGUACGCUUACUUUUAUGAGAUAAAAAUAUGAAUUCUUGAUGUGAAAUAAUUGAGCCUUGUGAAUUGAAUUUAUAUAUAUUGACUAUGAUUGCGAUAACUAUACAAAACUUGACUGCACCUGAGGAGAAUGACGAGGCAGACGAAGCGUUUGUGUAGCUCUUCGAAUUUUGCGCUUAGCAAACAGGAGAUUGCUCCGAGGAAAGAAGGUGUAUUGGUUUCAGAUGAGGUGAUUGUGUGUAUUUGCAGACUAUGCAGUGUGUGAUAGAUGGGUCCGGGGUAGCUACCAACUGGCUUUGGGUAUUUGUCCCAGGUUUUAUCAUUUGCUUCUUCUUUCAAAGAUUGCCCUGAGUCUUUUCAUCUCAACUGGAUCGACCAAGCGGGGUAAAAAGCUCUUUUCACUUGAUUAAAAAAUCUCGGUCUUUCUCUUGCUCAACCAGCCUCAUGUUGGGCUAUUAUUAAUAUAAUAUAAUAAAUAGAUAAUAGAUAUAUAGAUAGAUAGAUUAAUAAUAUUUUUUAAUAAUAGAAUAUAUAGAAGAGUUGAGAUCUGUGGGAUACCAUUAAAAUUGAGGAAUUGGAGUCCCUAGGGACUAUGGUUGGAUUGUACUCAAAUCCUACGGCUCAGAUUUAUUAAAUCAAAAUACAGUUGACCUCCUUUUAAGGAUGUUUGAACUGUAAAUACACUCCCGUGCGUAUACGUUGCUGAGAAAGCUAUCCCGCAUCCUACGCUUAAAAACAACCCACUGCCGUUACAAAGACUACAGGAUUUUCGCUCGCAACAACCACAGGUGCGUAAGAUUUGAAACUCAAUUGGCCGGUUGGAGACGAGGGUUGUUCAAGCCACUGCAAGUAUAUGUGAAGAUGCGUUCAGGUAUGGGCUCGAUUUUGUUAUUAUGUGCUUCAAUUUAAUUGCAUGUCGUAUAAGUGAGCGAUAGGCGAACUGAUUUUUUGUUCCCCAAUAGCCAAGUUAGAUGAGUUGUCCCGCGAUUGUGCUUUUGUUUUGAUGGGGCGUCAUUACCCGUUUUUUGGGCUUGGUUAAAAAUCAAACUCUGUGUGUUCUGCACUUGACAUUGCAAGGAUAUUUGAGAAUUUUUGGUCUUUAAGAAUAAACAUUGUUAUUUGGUGUUAGAGUGGUCUAUUUAGACAAUACAGAAUGUUUUGUUGUGAUUUGGGUAAUUGGGGUUUUAUUUUGAGUCUACAUGUUCUGAAUGCACAUUGAGAUUAUGUUCUGCAUUUGUUAAGUGUUUAUUAUUGAAAAUGUGAAUUUAGUGAUAAUGAAUCUGGUUUUGGUGUUAUGCAGUGUAGGUUUUAAAUUUAAUGUUUGAUAUUCUUCUGCAUUACAUUGCAAUGUCCAUAAUUGGAUUCAAUAUUGGUGUUUGUAUCACAAUUAUUGAAGCUACUUAGAUCUGUGUUGUCCUGUAGUUGAGCUUUUAUUUCGUUGGGGCAUCAUAACCCCUAUUAUGGGUUUGAUAAAAAAAUGAACUCUGUUUGUGUUCUGCUCUUGACUUUGUAAGGAUGUUUAAGAAUUUUUGGUCUUUUAGAAUAAGCAUUGCUAUUUGGUGUCAGAGUGUUCAAUUUGGACAAUGCAGAACAUUUUUGUUGAAAUUUGGGUAAUUGGGGUUUCAUUUGGAGUCUACAAUGCACAUUGCGGUUAUGUUUUGCAUUUAUUUAGUGGUUUGUUCUGCAUUGUGAAUCUGAUUUCUACUAUACUAAAAAGAAUGCCAUAUUUUCACAAUGCAGGAGAUGGAGGUAAAGAAAUUCAUCACACGUGAACUUGUCGGAUAUCAACAAAGCAUUCGACUACAUGAUCAAGGGGGAAGUCUGUGUUGCGUUGCGUCAUCGACAUGGGUGCUUAGGCGAAGCCUAAAUUUUCUGCAAUCAGUGAAACAUACGCAAAUAUGAAUUUAUCAAAUAAGUGUUGUUGAUAAAUAAAAGAUUUGUCAAGGAGUUGCCACUUCAUACCGAGCAUUGGUUUUUUGACAUUGAUUAUGUUGUGGAGUUUGGUUGUUUUGUUCACUAUUUUUGAAUGCAUCUUCUUGCUUUUCAUCUGACUAGUGUGUUUAGUUUCUAGUUUUGUUUUACCGAUACAAGUAUGGAAAACUGAUAAGAAAAAUAUAAAUCGAUCCAAAAAAUCGAAGUGUUGAGCAAUAGCAUGACACUGUAGUAUACGAGCAACAUUUACGGUUUCAUAUGAUUUCAGAAAAAAUGAAGUAGAAGAUGCUAAUAUUAGUUUUAGAUCUUAUGCAACAACUUCGAGAUAAACACCAAUGCCAUGCUGCAUUGUCUAAGAUCAAUCGUCUGUGCAGAACCAAAACAAACACAUAUUAUCUAGCAUUUUACAAGAACCUAAUACUCUGUCAUGACAUUACGAAGGGAGCAAAAUACAGUAACCUUAAAAAAAUCUUGCAUACAAUUAUUUGAUGUAGUAAUAUCCUACGAAACUUUUCAAUGUAACUGAAACAAUAAAAAAAUAUACAUAACUUACAUGAAUCUCCUUUCUGAUUAGACUAUAAAGACAUUUGCAGAAAAAAAAAAAACAACGCAGGACCAACUAAUAAUCUAUCAUUUUACAAAAAAUCAAUUAGUCUAGCAUGACAUUACGAAAGGAGCAAACUACGGAAACCUUCAGGCUUCAAGAAGUCCUGCACACAAUUAUUUAAUGAAGGAAUAUAUUGCGGAACUUUUUCAAAGUAACUCAAAUACUAAAUAAAUUUGUCGAACUUAUAACAUUAAUCUCCAUUGUGAUUAGAAAUUUGAGCCUUUCUAUGAAGAAAAAAAAAGUGCUCCAUGAGUUAUAUAUAUUGCCUGCUAAGGAUCAAAAGAACGAAAAUAUAAAACGGAAAAAAAAUGAAGCAACGAGUGCAGGACAUUUAUUCAACUCAUACACUUGGAUAACUUGAGCAGUUGUAACUACGGCACGAAUCAAGCAACCCACAACUCCUACUCCAAAAAACACGCUUGUCUGUGUAAGAAACAAAAGAAAAUACACUUUUUAAAAAAUUAAAUCAUAAAUCGUAUCAGCCGUUGGAUCUUAAUCAAAAUGAAGAGCUGAAUUGGGACUCCAAGACUCCAACAAGUUAUAGGACUCCAAAUAACUUUCUUCAUAUAUAAAAAAAAUGCAUAUAGAAAAUGUUGUUUAGGAAAAUAAUUCAUGAUGUCCUAAAUUAUUAUUUUGUAUUAAAUUUGAGACUUUUAUUAAAAUGACCUUGUGCUUAUUUUUCAGACGAGGGGGGUCAAAAGUCUGAAGACCAAAGGGUUUUAUCAGCAAAAACCCAUACAUACACCUAAUUUAUGCACUCUGGCCGGAAAACACCAAAUCAUGGAUUUCGACAAGAGAAAAACAGCAACUCUGUCAUUAAUCAACACUCCCCCGCAAGAUUACUCUGACAAAUCACCAAAAGGCACUCUUGAUCUUCCCAUUCUACCCCUGCUCAACUCCAUUAAUUCCCACCCUUGUUUCUUCACCACUAGCUCCUGCUCUGGCAGAAUCUCAAUCCUCUCCACCCCAACUGAAACCACCUCAAUAACCAAGAAAAAGGCCAGAGGAGGCAAGUGGGUCCUCAUAUCUCAUGACCCUGUGGACCCCACCUCAGUUCUUGACUUGCUGUACAACCCCACCUCAGUUGUUGAUGAGUUGGAUGAGCUGGUGUUUAGAUUUGAGCCUUUGAUUGUUGCUGUUGAGUGUAGGGAUGUGGGGUCUGCUCAGAGUUUGGUUUCGAUUGCAAUUUCUUGUGGGUUUAGGGAGUCUGGGAUUACUAGUGUCAGCAAAAGGGUGAUUGUUGCGAUUAGGUGUUCGAUUCGAUUGGAAGUGCCGUUAGGAGGGAGUGGAAGGUUGUUGGUAUCGGAGGAGUAUGUUAGGUUUUUGGUUGGGAUUGCUAAUGGGAAAAUGGAGGUUAAUAGGAAGAGGACUGAUCAGUUUUUUGCUGCAUUGUUGAGGAAUGGGUUUGGAGGAGUCGAGAAUGGUGUGGGAAGUGGUGAUUGCGAUGGCUUGGAAUGUGAGGAGGUGAAAAAGAUGGAGUCUUAUUUUGGUGCUUUGAGUGAAUCCCGGCAAAUAGAUGACUGCGGUAUUUUACUUUGUAUUUACUUGGCUUAUUAAUGGACUUUAGAAUUACGUUAUUUUGUAUCUUAAUUUUUUUUUUUUUUUGGUAUGUGAAAGUUACUUCAUUUUAUCCAGAGUAGUUUACCUUGUUUCUUAGUUAGCACUUACACCUUGCUCCCGAGUUUUAAAUAGAGAGGAAAGCAAGAGGAGACGAGGUAAUUUCUUCAUCCCAAUUUUGGGGUGAAAGUCUCCUGAAUUUGCAUUCAUUUACACUUGCUAAAAACUGAGUACAAAUAUGAGUGAAAAUGAGGCUACUUUAAUUACUUUUCACGUGCUUUCCUCCCUUUCUAAGUAAGUGUUCUCUUAGUAUAUAAGGAUAUAAGCAGCUGAGAUGAUUUAUAGGAAACUUUUUAUGCAUAAUGCUGUGGAAUAAUUUCUAACAGUAGGUAUGAAUCACGUACAUUGCACAUUUUUUAUUGUCCAAGUAUAUGUUAUCCUCAUUGCUUACGAAGUUUGCGUCCUCCUCACAGUGAAAUCUUGUAUAAUUCAUCCUGACUAGGGUCCAGUACUGCCACGGUCAAUAGAGAAGUAAUAUGUUGUUUAUCUUAUAAUUAUAUUGUGCUGUCAAGUUUUAACUUGAAAUAUAAUUUAUGUCGGGUUAUUUGUUGUUCAAAGUUAUUGUUUUAAUUUGUAUCAUAAAAGGUCAAAUGUAUGUGUGUAUGUGACUAUGUGUAGAUGUGUUGGUUGUUUUUAUUUUUUAAUUUGUGAACUUCAGUUUGUCUUCUUUAACUAUAUUAAUGGACCGUGUUGGAAGCAGGGAAAAGUGGGGGAUGGGGGCUUCUGGAUUUGAUAAUCAGUACUAGAUGUUGUUAAUUAUGACAAGGAUUUUAGUAGGUGAGACGAAUUGUUGGGAACUUUUGUGCAGUAUGCUGCGGGUUCAAAUCAUGGAAAGCACUCAUUCUUCUUUGUUUUAAUAUGUUCCUUUCUCAUUCUCACAUUCUGAAAACUCAUAUGGUUUAUGCUAACUUUGAAGUCUAGUCUAGUUCUGACUCUGUCAACAUAUAAGUUCAUGGACUAAGAUUAUUAGUUGCAGAAGGCCCUCCAUUUGCAAAACUAACAUAGCUAUUUCAGGUGUAGCUUUCUAAUGCACACCUUGUCCAAUAUGCAUGCAUCUUAGAACCUUCUUUUUAACAAAGUAGGGUUGUGUAGCUACAUGAAAUUACUAUGUGGUUACGUUCUUAUAUAUAUUUAUUGUUGCAGGAAUCUUCCACUAUAUAUUGCAAGAUUAAACCUUUAAUAUAUUGGCAGGGUCUGCCGAAGUUCCUGUUAACAGUCUUUCCACUGAUCAGCUGGUAGUUGCUGGUGAAGCUAUUGAGAAGGUUUACCUAUGGGGUCACUCUGCUUGUGAGAUUGAGGACGCAACAAAAAAGAAAGUGCUCAUUUUUGGUGGUUUUGGAGGCAUGGGGAGGCAUGCUCGACGAAAUAAUUGUUUCUUGCUUGAUCCAUUCUCAGGUGAACUUGAAGACUUCAAUGUUCAGGGGUGUCCAUCCCCACGCUUGGGCCACACAUCCUCCUUAAUAGGACAUUUGAUGUAUGUUAUUGGGGGUAGGGCUGAUCCAUCAAGUAUCUUAAAUGAUGUCUGGCUUCUGAACACAGAAAAUAGGCAAUGGAAGCUCUUAGAGUGUACAGGCACAUAUUUUCCAUCCAGGUGACAUCUUUAGUGUUUAAAAUUGUUUCUAUUUUUUUUUCAUUGUUUUUAGUCUAUCUGCUUUAUGCACCAGAUCAUUAUGAAUUGAACAGCUUUCAUUGCGCAAGUUUUUUUUUACUAUCUAUGCAAGUGUAAAAUAUUGAAUUUUCUUGUGUCUUGUUUGUGUAUCAAGCAGUCUGAUAAAACAAUAAUAUAAUAGCAUAUUUUCUUUCUCGUCUGUGUCUUUACAUCUCUUUAUAAUUUACAAAAUCGAUAAAUGAGCUUUGUGGGGGCAUGGUGUUGUGCAGGCAUCGACAUGCAGCAGCUACUGUAGGGCCUAAGAUAUAUGUUUUUGGUGGAAUUCACAAUGAUUUGAUCUAUCCAUCAUUACAUGUUUUAGACACGCAAAAUCUUGAAUGGAGUGAAAUAUGUAUGCCAGGUGAACAACCAUGCCCACGUCAUUCACACUCUAUGGUAUCUUAUGGGACCAAACUAUUUAUAUUUGGAGGAUAUGAUGGGGAAAAAGCUCUAGGGGACCUUUAUAGUUUUGAUGUUCUGACAUGCUUGUGGAAGAAGGAAGAAAUGGCAGGAAGAACACCGUAUGCAAGAUUUUCACACUCAAUGUUUGUAUAUAAGCAUUUUGUAGGUAUCAUAGGAGGAUGCCCAGUCAGACAACAUUAUCAAGAUUUGUCUUUGCUAGAUUUGAGGGACUGUUCGUGGAAACAUAUUAGGGUGAAUUCUUUUGGCAAAGAGCUUCUUGUUCGUAGCAGCGGAAGUGUCAUUGGUGAUGAUCUUGUGAUGAUUGGUGGUGGAGCAUCUUGUUAUGCCUUUGGAACAAAAUUUAGCGAUCCAAUGAAAAUGAACUUGCGUCCAUUAGUUUCUCUAACUGAUAGUCCUGCACAAAUAUUGACGACGCAAGUUAAUCACACCAAAGAAGACCCCCCACAAACCGAGAUUGGUUUCACACAAUCUCCAGCUAGCAUAUAUGAAACAUUAUCUAAGGAAACUUCUGGCUUGAAACUUGGUGAUGAAGGCAUAGAUAUAAAUGGUGGACAUCAAGGUGUUGCAUCACAUUUUGUUCUAAAAAUUAAGAAAAAAUAUGCCAAACUUGGAAAGGACCUGCUGAAAAGGUUUGCCUGGUUAGAUCUUGAACGCAAAGUUUAUUCCCUGGAAAAAGGAUUACAUAUAUGUUUUCCUGUCACAGGACAAUUUUGUGCUUUGUACGAUAAUAGUCAACAUGAUGCACACACUGCAGAUAUUGAACCACUUGACCCUUGUCUACUAGAAAAGGUAACGGCAAAGGGGCUUUUACCUGAUGAUACCAUUUCAUCAGCCCUGAAUUUUUUCAUCACAAGUGGUGCUACCAAAAUUUUAGACGAGGUUGUGAGAGUUAAGAAAACUUCUAGCUCUCCAUUAAAGAUGAUGAAUGACUCUGUAACAUUAUUGAUUAAUGAACAAGGGCUUCCAGCAGAACUUCUAGAGCAGCUACCCACUAGGUUUGUCUCUAACAAUCAUAAUAUUUAAAGUAUCCUGCAUACAUAUUUAAAUCUAAUUUUGUGCCUUAUAGGCUUGAAAAUUUAUCUUGACUUAUUAAAUAGUUAUAUAUUAGUACAUGUACACAAAAGAGAUGCCAAUCUUUCAAAACACAAUUUUAGGAAAUAAGGUUAUCCACUUAAUAGUGUAAGAAUAUAUGGGCUACUCCACAUAAGGUUCUUAUGUAUACCUGUAAGUUCUCUAAAAGGUAGGACACACACACACACAUGUUUAUAAUAUUUGAAUUACAUAUUAGAAUGUACACUUAAUUAAAAAAAUCGAGUAGAAGAACUAGUGUUUCCAUUAUAAUAUUGUCCUGACAGAGUGUUUCGGCAUCCUUGGAUCAGAGCUCUUCUCUUCUCGGUUUUAUCAUCAUCAUCAUCAUCAUCAUCAUCAUCGUCAUUUUUUGUUAAUUAAUUUGGUAAUAGAAAACCUCCGUUUGUCCUAUUAGUAUGAAUCAAGGAAGUGCUAUGCUUCAUUUAUUAUGGUUAUUGUUAUUAUUAUUAUUAUUAUUAUAUUUUGGUGAAGCUAUUUAACUACUGCUAAUCCAAUUCAAAAUAUGCAACUUUUAUAUAGAUGGGAACGACUUGGGGACAUUGUUGUGCUUCCAUCAACUUCAUUUAAGGAUCCAUUGUGGGACACAAUUUCAGAUAAGCUGUGGCCAGUUGUUGCUGCAUCACUAGGAACUCAACGCCUUGCUCGACAAGUAAGAAUUUUUUGAUAGAAUGAGCUGUGUUUCACUAAAUUGUUUAAUCUCCAUGUCUGGAAGAUGUUUCUAAGCAUUGUUUUCAACACAUUCACUAAAUCUAAUUAUCAUUGGUUGUUUAGAAUUUGUGUAUGUGCUGAUAGUAGGAAUUUGUUUAUGUGCUGAUAGUAGGAAUUUGUCCAUGUGCUGAUGUGUAUGUGGUACUAAAUGGAAAAACUGAUGUGCACUUGCAAUGAAUUUUCAUGUACAUCCGAAGAUCUUCCUAGAGAGUUAUACAUUAGGCCAGUUUUCAGAGCAUAAAAAGUUUAAGUCAGUGCCUAACUACAGGUCUUACUAAAGCCAACAUGUCAAGCUGUCAAUGGAAAAAAUAAGAAAUUAAAGAAAUGUAGACAUUUAAGCAAUAAAAAUUUCUUGCAUCAACAGAUAAUAUACUCGCAAGGAUGCAUCAUUUUGGUGGGUAGAUCAUUUGUUGAAGGUUGGAAGGUGUAUGUAUGUUGCAGAAUUACACAUACUGGAUAAUGUAGUGAAUUGCCUAUCUGUUUACAAUGAUUUGUUUAUAUAUAGGGUCGAGUGGCAAAUACUGGAACAAGGGACAGUAGUUUGGAGAUGCUUGUCGGGGAUAGUGGCUGGGUAAGUCACCGCGAAAAUGGAAUUUAUUAUUCUUUUGAUGCUACAAAGUGCAUGUUUUCCUGGGGCAAUCUAUCUGAGAAGCUACGUAUGGCCCAUUUGGACUGUACGGAUGAAGUUGUUGUAGACUUGUUUGCUGGGAUUGGAUAUUUUGCUUUGCCAUUCCUUGUCAGGUACUAUAUGAUUGCAUUUCUGUGAAGUUUCAGCUAUCUAAUAUCUUUUGCUGUUAUAAAUAUCUCAAAUCCUAAACUCUUGCUCCAUAAAUUUUCUCUUUAUUUUAUUUGGGAUCACUUAUUGAUCCUAUAUUUUGAAUUGACUUGUGUUAUUGGAGUACCUCCUCCUUUGGCUGUAUGUUCUAUCGCUUUCUAUGGAGUUGUAGCUGAACUUCGUGUUCUGUAUCUAAAAUGUAUGGUUUCCUUUAGUUAGUUAAAGGCUAGAAAGCAUGAGUGCGGGUGCGGGAGUGCGGGUGCGCGGUACGUGGAUACGGGAAUUCGUCAAAUUCCAAAAUAUGGGGAUACGGGUGCGGGGGGAUACGGCAAAUAUUAAAAUAUUAAAUAUAUUAUAUAUAUAUAUAAAUAAUACAUAAGAUGCAUUUAAGUAGAACAAAAUAGUGGAAUAACUAAAUUAAUCAUCUUUAAGUCUUGACAAUUAGAAUACAUAUAUAACUAUUGCAAUUUAAGUGAUUCAAUUGAGCAUAAUCAUGGCUUCCAUGAUUUUGACCAACUAAUUUUAAGUUUUUUUUUAAAAAAAAAGUUGUAAAAAAUUACGAUUUGUGCCACUCCCGCACCCCCAUCCCCGCACCCCCGCGUAUCCCCGUCACUGCCUCCACCGAUACGCCACGUGGCGUAUCCCGUGCGUAUCCCGCCGCACUCCGCCGCACCCCCGCACCCCCAAGUAUCCCCUACGCAGUUCUUCACCCAGAUGAAGUAUCCCUGCUUUCUAGGUUAAAGGCCAGUUAGUAAUGAGUCAUUACUAAAUAAAACUACAAUGUAAAUUUUAAAAUAAAAAGAGAAAAUAAAUUAUAAAAUAUAAAUAUUAAAACAUUUAAAGUAAAAGUAAAAUAUAAAUUUGGUUUUAAAAGUAAAAGCCUGAUUUCUACAUCUGGCUACGUAGGUGACACACACGUACACAGCAAUAGCCCCAGUAUAUACACACACCCCCAGUAUAUACACACACCGUCGUGUGUAUAUACUAAUCCAUCGGCGCCGUGUGUAUACAUAAAAGAAGAAAAGAGAUGAAGAGAGAGGAGAGGAAAGAGAGCAGAGGAGAGAGGAGAGGAGAAAAGAGAUGAAGAGAGAGACGAGAGAGAAGAGAUAGGAGAGGAGAGUGGAGAGGAGAGAUGAGAGGAACUUACCGUAAGCUUGCUCUGAAGUCUGAAGUCCAACUCCGCCGCGUAGAAGCCCGUUUCGUUUCAAUAUGAAGUCAACCAUCUGUGUAAGUAUCGUUUUUAACCCUAACCGGGUCGGGUAAAACUCGAUUGGACCGGGUCGGUACCGGGUCGGGUCGGGUUUUACCCGUGGACGACUUAAAAGCCCAGUCGCUGGUCGACUUACUCUUCUGGGCCGACUCGCCGACUAGUCGGCGACUAGUCGUCGACUAGUCGUCGACUCAAUAACAAUGGU
Molecule: long non-coding RNA, 43816 nt
Filed under: Daucus carota (carrot)
Lineage: Eukaryota; Viridiplantae; Streptophyta; Magnoliopsida; Apiales; Apiaceae
Description: long non-coding RNA (DCAR_LNC005624)
Source: RNAcentral